AAUAAGUACAGUUUUACACUAUUCACGUUUAACGUUUGAUCGUUCGUUUUAUUUAAAUUUUUUUAUGAUUAGUAUUUUUAUUGCUAUUAGAUGAUAAAACAUGAAUAGUAUUUUAUGUGUGAAUAAAUAUUUUCAAAUUUUUCAUAAUUUUUUAUAAUAAGACGAAUGGUCAAACAUUAGGCACGAAUAUAUACAGCUACACUUAUU
This is a microRNA precursor of Oryza sativa Indica Group (long-grained rice), 207 nucleotides long. It matches the Rfam family "MIR812 microRNA precursor family". The record is from Rfam. Lineage: Eukaryota; Viridiplantae; Streptophyta; Magnoliopsida; Poales; Poaceae.